Molecule: ribosomal RNA, 1523 nt
Filed under: Klebsiella terrigena
Lineage: Bacteria; Pseudomonadati; Pseudomonadota; Gammaproteobacteria; Enterobacterales; Enterobacteriaceae
Description: bacterial SSU rRNA
Rfam family: Bacterial small subunit ribosomal RNA
Source: RNAcentral
AGAGUUUGAUCAUGGCUCAGAUUGAACGCUGGCGGCAGGCCUAACACAUGCAAGUCGAGCGGUAGCACAGAAGAGCUUGCUCUUUGGGUGACGAGCGGCGGACGGGUGAGUAAUGUCUGGGAAACUGCCUGAUGGAGGGGGAUAACUACUGGAAACGGUAGCUAAUACCGCAUAACGUCGCAAGACCAAAGUGGGGGACCUUCGGGCCUCAUGCCAUCAGAUGUGCCCAGAUGGGAUUAGCUAGUAGGUGAGGUAAUGGCUCACCUAGGCGACGAUCCUAGCUGGUCUGAGAGGAUGACCAGCCACACUGGAACUGAGACACGGUCCAGACUCCUACGGGAGGCAGCAGUGGGGAAUAUUGCACAAUGGGCGCAAGCCUGAUGCAGCCAUGCCGCGUGUAUGAAGAAGGCCUUCGGGUUGUAAAGUACUUUCAGCGAGGAGGAAGGCGUUAAGGUUAAUAACCUUGGCGAUUGACGUUACUCGCAGAAGAAGCACCGGCUAACUCCGUGCCAGCAGCCGCGGUAUACGGAGGGUGCAAGCGUUAAUCGGAAUUACUGGGCGUAAAGCGCACGCAGGCGGUCUGUCAAGUCGGAUGUGAAAUCCCCGGGCUCAACCUGGGAACUGCAUCCGAAACUGGCAGGCUAGAGUCUUGUAGAGGGGGGUAGAAUUCCAGGUGUAGCGGUGAAAUGCGUAGAGAUCUGGAGGAAUACCGGUGGCGAAGGCGGCCCCCUGGACAAAGACUGACGCUCAGGUGCGAAAGCGUGGGAGCAAACAGGAUUAGAUACCCUGGUAGUCCACGCUGUAAACGAUGUCGACUUGGAGGUUGUUCCCUUGAGGAGUGGCUUCCGGAGCUAACGCGUUAAGUCGACCGCCUGGGGAGUACGGCCGCAAGGUUAAAACUCAAAUGAAUUGACGGGGGCCCGCACAAGCGGUGGAGCAUGUGGUUUAAUUCGAUGCAACGCGAAGAACCUUACCUACUCUUGACAUCCAGAGAACUUAGCAGAGAUGCUUUGGUGCCUUCGGGAACUCUGAGACAGGUGCUGCAUGGCUGUCGUCAGCUCGUGUUGUGAAAUGUUGGGUUAAGUCCCGCAACGAGCGCAACCCUUAUCCUUUGUUGCCAGCGGUUCGGCCGGGAACUCAAAGGAGACUGCCAGUGAUAAACUGGAGGAAGGUGGGGAUGACGUCAAGUCAUCAUGGCCCUUACAGUAGGGCUACACACGUGCUACAAUGCAUAUACAAAGAGAAGCGACCUCGCGAGAGCAAGCGGACCUCAUAAAGUAUGUCGUAGUCCGGAUCGGAGUCUGCAACUCGACUCCGUGAAGUCGGAAUCGCUAGUAAUCGUGGAUCAGAAUGCCACGGUGAAUACGUUCCCGGCCUUGUACACACCGCCCGUCACACCAUGGGAGUGGGUUGCAAAAGAAGUAGGUAGCUUAACCUUCGGGAGGGCGCUUACCACUUUGUGAUUCAUGACUGGGGUGAAGUCGUAACAAGGUAACCGUAGGGAACCUGCGGUUGGAUCACCU